AUUGAACGCUGGCGGCAGGCUUAACACAUGCAAGUCGAACGAGUGGCGGACGGGUGAGUAAUGUUUGGGAAUCUAGCUUCUGGCGGGGGAUAACUACGGGAAACUGUAGCUAAUACCGCGUACCAUAGGAUGAGCCCAAGUGGGAUUAGAUAGUUGGUGGGGUAAAGGCUCACCAGGCGGACGAUCUCUAGCUGGUCUGAGAGGAUGACCAGCCACACUGGGACUGAGACACGGCCCAGACUCAGACGGGAGGCAGCAGUGGGGAAUAUUGCGCAAUGGGGGCAACCUGACGCAGCCAUUCCGCGUGUAUUAGGAAGGCCUUCGGGUUGUAAAGUACUUUCGGUAGAGAGGCGUUAACUGCAGAAGAAGCACCGGCUAACUCCGUGCCAGCAGCCGCGGUAAUUC
RNAcentral lists this ribosomal RNA (405 nucleotides) under uncultured bacterium. RNAcentral's name for it is "partial 16S ribosomal RNA". It matches the Rfam family "Bacterial small subunit ribosomal RNA", at positions 30 to 526 of the family's 1533-position model. The record is from RNAcentral.